This 301-nucleotide ribosomal RNA is filed under the name uncultured bacterium. Its description in RNAcentral is "partial 16S ribosomal RNA". It matches the Rfam family "Bacterial small subunit ribosomal RNA", at positions 509 to 809 of the family's 1533-position model. The record is from RNAcentral.
CAGCCGCCGCGGUAAUACGUAGGGUGCAAGCGUUAAUCGGAAUUACUGGGCGUAAAGCGUGCGCAGGCGGUUUGUUAAGACAGAUGUGAAAUCCCCGGGCUUAACCUGGGAACUGCAUUUGUGACUGGCAAGCUAGAGUAUGGCAGAGGGGGGUGGAAUUCCGCGUGUAGCAGUGAAAUGCGUAGAUAUGCGGAGGAACACCGAUGGCGAAGGCAGCCCCCUGGGCCAAUACUGACGCUCAUGCACGAAAGCGUGGGGAGCAAACAGGAUUAGAUACCCCUGUAGUCCCUGUCUCUUAUAA